Amborella trichopoda is the source of this 468-nucleotide non-coding RNA. NCBI's taxonomy places the organism in Eukaryota, Viridiplantae, Streptophyta, Magnoliopsida, Amborellales, Amborellaceae. The record is from RefSeq and is a predicted model, not a curated record.
UUGAAAUUUUCAUUUCCUUUUUUUCGAGCUUGGAAAAGGAGAAAAAGGUUGGACGCAAGUUGGAAGGAUUUUUUAAACCAGGAGUCUGAAACCCACAUCAAUGCCCUUCUACCAAACCCCAACUCAAUUUAACAUUUCUCCCUCUUCUCCAACCCCACAUCCUUCUCCUCCUCCUCUUAACCAAGGUGGUUUUCCGUUGGAGAUGGAGUGUCAGGGUGUGGAGGAUUUCGUUGAAGACAUAUUGGACUUCCCUAUUGAGGAGAACGGGGGUUCUUGCAACGGAGAGGAGACAGAAAACCAGACGGAAAACGAGGCGGUUGAAAACAAGAGGAAAUACCACUGAAACAGAACACCUCUCCUUCUUCUUCGUCCCUUUCAUCGACUACGACGACCACCACUUCUUGUUCACGUGAUUACCAGGCCGACCCAGCCUCUGCGACUGACUUAAGCGUCCCGAGCGAAGCAGCA